Molecule: ribosomal RNA, 918 nt
Filed under: Triticum aestivum (bread wheat)
Lineage: Eukaryota; Viridiplantae; Streptophyta; Magnoliopsida; Poales; Poaceae
Description: partial small subunit ribosomal RNA
Source: RNAcentral
AUGCUAAUAUUUAUAUUAUCCAAACAACCAUAUAGAGUCUGUCGUCGCAACCUUAUCUCCUCAUUCUCUCGUUACAGAACAACCCAACUCCCCCGAGGACACGCCGCUGCUGCCGCCGGGAUUCUCUCCUCCACGCAUCUCCCGCACACCCGCACCACCUCCGCACGCCAGCGGAUUCCGCGCUCCACCGACGGCCGCCAGCGCUCCAGCUUCGACAGCCACUAUCGGCCCUUUUCUGGUUUUUCAGAUCAGAUUGGCUCCGUCACUCCUCCCGCUCUCCUCCCGCUCGAGGCCGCCGUCGUAGCUCGAGCACCGCCGUCGCUGCACCCCCCUUCCCCUCCAAAUCAGACACGGGUCGGUCUCGCGCGCGAGUACGGCGCCGCCCACGGCCCGCGGCCCCUGAGCAACAUGUCAACGCCCACGGCCCACCGCGCUGUCGAGCGUCUCCGGCAAAGUCGCACCGUCGAUAGAGAGGACCAUUGCCGCCUGACGCCCGAGCGCCGCCGGCGUCCAGACCCCUCCACGCCAUCCCCAUCUCGCCGAAGACCUGCAUCAAGUCUCCCAUCCAGCGCCCGCGCCACUCUUCGGCCCCCGCCCCGCAGCUCUACACCCCGAGUGCUUCAGUCGCCUCGCGACCCGCCGGUGUCCAGACCCCCUCCACGCCAUCCCCAUCUCGCGGAACACCUGCACAAAGUCCCGUCGAGCGCCCUCGCCACCCAUCGCCCUCGCCCCGCUGCUCUGCUAUUCGAGCGCUUCAACCGCCUCGUGCCCGAAGCAGAGGAGAGGAGCUCCCUGCCACGAGCCUCUCCAGCGCCGGCAGCGCUUCAGUCGCCUCGUGCCCGAAGCAGAGAAGUACUUCCCGCAUCAACGUCGACGAUGCCUAUCCCGCAUCCUCCUCGGCGGUGGAGGCCUGCUUAA